This 222-nucleotide long non-coding RNA is filed under the name Setaria italica (foxtail millet). RNAcentral describes it as "long non-coding RNA (SITA_LNC004037)". The record is from RNAcentral. Lineage: Eukaryota; Viridiplantae; Streptophyta; Magnoliopsida; Poales; Poaceae.
CACUGCAAUCUUCGGAGAAUAGCUGUGAGAUAAAGUUUGGACGAUGCCCUCGGUGAAUCAGCACGCCGGCCUCCUACGGGCUAUUUAACUUUUUAUCAUCCUUACUAGAGGCAAGUAUUCAAAAAUCAUCGUCAACGACGCUUACAAAUUUACCAUCCUUAUAAAACGCAGCCGAAUUCUUUGCCCAUAUUGCUGACUUGGAGUGCCAGGCGAGCAUCCCAC